CCACUGAGUGCCCAGGGUGUCCAAGCAGGUGUCCGCUCAACUUCUAUCCUACCUGAGCAACAGCAGCAGCAGCAACAACAACAGCAGCAACAACAGCAGCAGCAGCAACAACAACAGCAGCA
Molecule: microRNA precursor, 122 nt
Filed under: Otolemur garnettii (small-eared galago)
Lineage: Eukaryota; Metazoa; Chordata; Mammalia; Primates; Galagidae
Description: miRNA (ENSOGAG00000029921.1)
Source: RNAcentral